Molecule: ribosomal RNA, 461 nt
Filed under: Tuber borchii (whitish truffle)
Lineage: Eukaryota; Fungi; Ascomycota; Pezizomycetes; Pezizales; Tuberaceae
Description: partial 28S ribosomal RNA
Source: RNAcentral
CCUGAGCCCGCCGACGUCUCCGGGUUCAGUUACGUUACCGUGGAGAGUCCACAUCCAGGUGCCGGAAUUUUAACCGGCUUCCCUUUCGACGGGUGAUGCGUAAUACAUACUUUAAAACGGAGUUUCCCUAUGCCUUAGGAUCGACUAACCCAUGUCCAACUGCUGUUCACAUGGAACCUUUCCCCACUUCAGUCCUCAAAGUUCUCAUUUGAGUAUUUGCUACUACCACCAAGAUCUGCACUAGGGGCCGUUCGACCCGGGAUCACUCCCAAGGCUUCGUCACUGACCCCCACGCCUGCCUACUCGCCACUGCAUCGUUUCUACAGUGGCGGCGAGGUAUGGGUAGCACGCUUGAGCGCCAUCCAUUUUCAGGGCUAGUUCAUUCGGCAGGUGAGUUGUUACACACUCCUUAGCGGAUUCCAACUUCCAUGGCCACCGUCCUGCUGUCCGGCGGGCUCAGG